This 175-nucleotide unclassified non-coding RNA is filed under the name uncultured fungus. RNAcentral's name for it is "sequence contains ITS1, 5.8S rRNA gene". The record is from RNAcentral. RNAcentral also lists the same sequence under 1 other name. Lineage: Eukaryota; Fungi.
UUGAAAUCCUUAGGAUGUUGCUGGCCUCUAGGGGCAUGUGCACUCCGCCUUUUCAACUCACCUGUGAACUUAUUGUAGGCCGGAUAGUUAACUCUAUCUGUGUCUAUGUUUUUAUUACACCCCUUUAAAAAUGUAACAGAAUGUCUUAUAGGCCUUUAUUGGUCAUAACUUAAUA